AACGAACGCUGGCGGCAUGCCUAACACAUGCAAGUCGAACGAGACCUUCGGGUCUAGUGGCGCACGGGUGCGUAACGCGUGGGAUCCUGCCCUUAGGUUCGGAAUAACUCCCCGAAAGGGGUGCUAAUACCGGAUAAUGUCUUCGGACCAAAGAUUUAUCGCCUUUGGAUGGACCCGCGUUGGAUUAGCUAGUUGGUAGGGUAAAAGCCUACCAAGGCGACGAUCCAUAGCUGGUCUGAGAGGAUGAUCAGCCACACUGGGACUGAGACACGGCCCAGACUCCUACGGGAGGCAGCAGUGGGGAAUAUUGGACAAUGGGCGAAAGCCUGAUCCAGCAAUGCCGCGUGAGUGAUGAAGGCCUUAGGGUUGUAAAGCUCUUUUAACCGGGAUGAUAAUGACAGUACCGGGAGAAUAAGCGCCGGCUAACUCCGUG
RNAcentral lists this ribosomal RNA (433 nucleotides) under uncultured bacterium. RNAcentral's name for it is "partial 16S ribosomal RNA". It matches the Rfam family "Bacterial small subunit ribosomal RNA", at positions 29 to 507 of the family's 1533-position model. The record is from RNAcentral.